Molecule: ribosomal RNA, 574 nt
Filed under: Trichosporon japonicum
Lineage: Eukaryota; Fungi; Basidiomycota; Tremellomycetes; Trichosporonales; Trichosporonaceae
Description: eukaryotic LSU rRNA
Rfam family: Eukaryotic large subunit ribosomal RNA
Source: RNAcentral
UACGGCGAGUGAAGCGGGAAGAGCUCAAAUUUGAAAUCUGGCAGUCUUCGAUUGUCCGAGUUGUAAUCUAUAGAGGCGUUUUCCGUGCCGGACCGUGUCCAAGUCUCCUGGAAAGGAGUAUCAAAGAGGGUGAUAAUCCCGUACUUAACACGACCACCGGUGCUCUGUGAUACGUCUUCUACGAGUCGAGUUGUUUGGGAAUGCAGCUCAAAAUGGGUGGUGAAUUCCAUCUAAAGCUAAAUAUUGGCGAGAGACCGAUAGCGAACAAGUACCGUGAGGGAAAGAUGAAAAGCACUUUGGAAAGAGAGUUAAACAGUACGUGAAAUUGUUGAAAGGGAAACGAUUGAAGUCAGUCGUGUUCUUUGGAUUCAGCCAGUUCUGCUGGUCUACUUCCUUGGAACGGGUCAACAUCAGUUUUGUCCGGUGGAUAAAGGUAGUAGGAAUGUGACUUCUCCGGAAGUGUUAUAGCCUAUUAUCACAUACACUGGGUGAGACUGAGGACUGCAGCUCGCCUUUAUGGCCGGUCUUCGGACACGUUCGAGCUUAGGAUGUUGACAUAAUGGCUUUAAACGAC